GCGUCUUGGUGCUUCCAUGUUGGAAGAAAAGGGAAUCCGGUGAAAUUCCGGGGCUGUCCCCGCAGCUGUAAAGUCAUUUCCCGUCCGAAUGGGCGGAUCUUUUCGUAGAACCACUGGUGAAACCGGGAAGGGGAAAAGAUGACAAGCCAGAAAACCUGCCAAGUGAUGC
RNAcentral lists this non-coding RNA (169 nucleotides) under Butyricimonas virosa. The record is from RNAcentral. Lineage: Bacteria; Pseudomonadati; Bacteroidota; Bacteroidia; Bacteroidales; Odoribacteraceae.